GACGAACGCUGGCGGCGUGCCUAAUACAUGCAAGUCGAACGAACUCUGGUAUUGAUUGGUGCUUGCAUCAUGAUUUACAUUUGAGUGAGUGGCGAACUGGUGAGUAACACGUGGGAAACCUGCCCAGAAGCGGGGGAUAACACCUGGAAACAGAUGCUAAUACCGCAUAACAACUUGGACCGCAUGGUCCGAGCUUGAAAGAUGGCUUCGGCUAUCACUUUUGGAUGGUCCCGCGGCGUAUUAGCUAGAUGGUGGGGUAACGGCUCACCAUGGCAAUGAUACGUAGCCGACCUGAGAGGGUAAUCGGCCACAUUGGGACUGAGACACGGCCCAAACUCCUACGGGAGGCAGCAGUAGGGAAUCUUCCACAAUGGACGAAAGUCUGAUGGAGCAACGCCGCGUGAGUGAAGAAGGGUUUCGGCUCGUAAAACUCUGUUGUUAAAGAAGAACAUAUCUGAGAGUAACUGUUCAGGUAUUGACGGUAUUUAACCAGAAAGCCACGGCUAACUACGUGCCAGCCGCCGCCGUAACAC
This 533-nucleotide ribosomal RNA is filed under the name uncultured bacterium. RNAcentral describes it as "bacterial SSU rRNA". It matches the Rfam family "Bacterial small subunit ribosomal RNA", at positions 28 to 526 of the family's 1533-position model. The record is from RNAcentral.